This 548-nucleotide long non-coding RNA is filed under the name Cicer arietinum (chickpea). RNAcentral's name for it is "long non-coding RNA (CARI_LNC002963)". Lineage: Eukaryota; Viridiplantae; Streptophyta; Magnoliopsida; Fabales; Fabaceae. The record is from RNAcentral.
CGAGUACUUGUUCCAAGAAAUUACAAGUGACGGACGUUCGUCCAGUGAUAAUAAAUGACGGACAUUCGUCCUAGUAGAAACAAAUUACGAGUAUAUGCCCUAAUAACAACGAAACAAGAGAAAAACAACUCAAUCGUUUAUCCCGAACACCAGACUGGAAGUUCGGGGGGCAACUGUUCCUAAACCGCACUGAGGCCCAAUUUUCAAUAGUUAUUAGUUUUUAGCCAAUUCGCCAUAGUUAUUGGUUUUUAGUCCAUUCUAAUGCAAACCAAACUCAAGGCACAUCGUACCCCCAAAAUCGUCUGACGUGCUGAAUUUUAGCCCAUCCAUGAAGAUCGUUGACCAUCCAUUAAUCGGCUACCUGCAUUUCACGUUUGGUACCAGAAUAAUUGUCGCCAUGUCACUAGUAUCGGGGGAAUCCCUAUAAAAAAGGUUCUUGUACCAAAAAAAAUACAUAUAAGAUAAAGAAUUUAACAAGAACGAUGAUUAUUAAAGUACAUAUAAGAUAUGAUUGUAAUUUAAAAAAAAUAUAUAUAUAAGAUGAGCUC